Molecule: unclassified non-coding RNA, 303 nt
Filed under: fungal sp.
Lineage: Eukaryota; Fungi
Description: partial internal transcribed spacer region
Rfam family: Eukaryotic small subunit ribosomal RNA (bases 1-46)
Source: RNAcentral
AAGUCGUAACAAGGUAACCGUAGGUGAACCUGCGGUUGGAUCAUUAUUGAAUCUAAUUCUUUUUAGUUUUGAUUGUUAACUUCUUUUUCUCAAAGUUUUUUUUCAGUCAAACUAAAAAUUCUUAAACCCCAAAAAUUUUAUGUGAUAUUUAUUUUAGUACUUGGUCUGAAAAAAAAAAUACUUUUCUUUUUUUAGGCCUAUAACUAUAUAAAAAAAACUCAUAUUGUUAUCUAAACUUUUUUUUUUCUUCAUAUAUUAUUGUGAAAAAAAAAACAACUUUCAACAACGGAUCUCUUGGCUCUG